RNAcentral lists this ribosomal RNA (253 nucleotides) under uncultured bacterium. Its description in RNAcentral is "partial 16S ribosomal RNA". It matches the Rfam family "Bacterial small subunit ribosomal RNA", at positions 524 to 776 of the family's 1533-position model. The record is from RNAcentral.
AACGUAGGACACAAGCGUUAUCCGGAGUUACUGGGCGUAAAGGGCGUGUAGGCGGAUUGAUAAGUCUACUCUGAAAGCUUCUGGCUAAACUGGAAGAGGCGAGUGGAGACUGUCAGUCUAGAGUCCGGAAGAGGAGAGUGGAAUUCCCGGUGUAGCGGUGAAAUGCGCAGAUAUCGGGAAGAACACCCGUGGCGAAGGCGGCUCUCUGGGACGGUACUGACGCUGAGACGCGAAAGCGUGGGGAGCGAACAGG